GCUUUUUAGGUUACCACAAUCAUCUUUGCUGUACACACCUUUUGAUGAGAGACACAAAUGAUUCGGAAUUUAUUAGAAUACUCUAUGCGCUUCACUUAUAUCUUUUGAGCUAUAUAGGUUUUGCUCUAGUGCUUCACUUAUAUCUUUUAGAGCACGGCGGUGGUUUUGUUUUAUAGAAACUAUUAUUCUCUCGUGCUUCACUUAUAUUAUUUUGAGAGUCUUAAACAACAUGGUAAUUUGCUUAAACUGGGAAAUUAAUCCUAAUAUCUUAGGUAUUCAAGACUAGUAAAAAACUUUCUUAUGAAUGUGCUGAAUGCUAAGAGAAGUUUGAUGCUUGAUGAUUGUUUUGAGAUAUGGAGGUAGUGAUAUUAAAGUUGUGCUAGUUGAGUAGUUGUGAAUUUGAGAAAUACUUGUGUUGAAGUUUGCAAGUCCCGUAGCAUGCACGUAUGGUAAACGUUAUGUAACAAAUUUGAAACAUGAGGUGUUCUUUGAUUGUCCUCCUUAUGAGUGGCGAUCGGGGACGAGCGAUGGUCUUUUCCUACCAAUCUAUCCCCCUAGGAGCAUGCGCGUAGUGCUUGGUUUUUGAUGACUUGUAGAUUUUUGCAAUAAGUAUGUGAGUUCUUUAUGACUAAUGUUGAGUCCACGGAUUAUACGCGCUCUUACCCUUCCAUCAUUGCUAGCCUCUUCGGUACCGUGCAUUGCCCUUUCUCACAUUGAGAGUUGGUGCAAACUUCGUCGGUGCAUCCAAACCCCGUGAUAUGAUACGCUCUUUCACACAUAAACCUCCUUAUAUCCUCCUCAAGACAGCCACCAUACCUACCUAUUAUGGCAUUUCCAUAGCCAUUCCGAGAUAUAUUGUCAUGCAACUUUCCACCGUUCCGUUUAUCAUGACACGUUCAUCAUUGUCAUAUUGCUUUGCAUGAUCAUGUGGUUGACAUCGUAUUUGUGGCAAAGCCACCGUUCAUAAUUUUUCAUACAUGUCACUCUUGAUUCAUUGCUAUCCCGGUAUACCGCCGGAGGCAUUCAUAUAGAGUCAUACUUCGUUCUAGUAUCGAGUUGUAAUCAUUGAGUUGUAAAUAAAUAGAAGUGUGAUGAUCAUCAUUCAUAGAGCAUUGUCCCAACUAAAAAAAGAGAAAGGCCAAAAAAAGAGAAGCCCCCCCCCCAAAAAAGGGGGACAAUGCUACUAUCCUUUUUCCACACUUGUGCUUCAAAGUAGCACCAUGAUCUUCAUGAUAGAGAGUCUCUUGUUUUGUCACUUUCAUAUACUAGUGGGAAUUUUUCAUUAUAGAACUUGGCUUGUAUAUUCCAACAAUGGGCUUCCUCAAAUGCCCUAGGUCUUCGUGAGCAAGCAAGUUGGAUGCACACCCACUUAGUUUCUUUUGUUGAGCUUUCAUGCAUUUAUAGCUCUAGUGCAUCCGUUGCAUGGCAAUCCCUACUCCUUGCAUUAACAUCAAUCGAUGGGCAUCUCCAUAGCUCAUUGAUUAGCAGCGUUGAUGUGAGACUUUCUCCUUUUUUGUCUUCUCCACAUAACCCCCAUCAUUAUAUUCUAUUCCACCCAUAGUGUUAUAUCCAUGGCUCACGCUCAUGUAUUGCGUGAAGGUUGAAAAAGUUUGAGAUUGCUAAAGUAUGAAACAAUUGCUUGGCUUGUCAUCGGGGUUGUGCAUGAUGAGAGCAUUCUUGUGUGACGAAAAUGGAGCAUGACUAAACUAUAUGAUUUUGUAGGGAUGAACUUUCUUUGGCCAUGUUAUUUUGAGAGGACAUAAUUGCUUAGUUAGUAUGCUUGAAGUAUUAUUACUUUUAUGUCAAUAUUAAACCUUUAUCUUGAAUCUUUCGGAUCUGAAUAUUCAUACCACAAUUAAGAGAAUUACAUUGAAAUUAUGCCAAGUAGCAUUCCACAUCAAAAAUUCUGUUUUUAUCAUUUACCUACUCGAGGACGAGCAGGAAUUAAGCUUGGGGAUGCUUGAUACGUCUCCAACGUAUCUAUAAUUUUUUAUUGUUCCAUGCUAUUUUUUAUUCUGUUUUGGACAUUAAUGGGCUUUAUUAUACACUUUUAUAUUAUUUUUGGAACUAACCUAUUAACCGGAGGCCCAGCCCAGAUUUGCUGUUUUUUGCCUAUUUCAGAGUUCGCAGAAAAAGAAUAUCAAACGGAGUCCAAACGGAAUGGAACCUUUGGAAACGUGAUUUUCGGAACGAAUGUGAUCCAGAGGACUUGGACCCUACGUCAAGACAUCAACCAGGAAGGCACGAGGUAGGGGGCGCGCCUACCCCCCUGGGCGCGCCCUCCACCCUCGUGGGCCCCAUGUUGCUCCACCGACGUACUUCUUCCUCCUAUAUAUACCUACGUACUCCCAAACUACCAGAUACGGAGCCAAAAACCUAAUUCCACCGCCGCAACCUUCUGUACCCGUGAGAUCCCAUCUUGUGGCCUUUUCCGGAGCUCCGCCAGAGGGGGCAUCGAUCACGGAGGGCUUCUACAUCAACACCAUAGCCUCUCCGAUGAUGUGUGAGUAGUUUACCUCAGACCUUCGGGUCCAUAGUUAUUAGCUAGAUGGCUUCUUCUCUCUCUUUGGAUCUCAAUACAAAGUUCUCCACGAUUCUCGUGGAGAUCUAUUCGAUGUAAUCUUCUUUUGCGGUGUGUUUGUUGAGACCGAUGAAUUGUGGGUUUAUGAUCAAGUUUAUCUAUGAACAAUAUUUCAAUCUUCUCUGAAUUCUUUUAUGUAUGAUUGGUUAUCUUUGCAAGUCUCUUCGAAUUAUCAGUUUGGUUUGGCCUACUAGAUUGAUCUUUCUUGCAAUGGGAGAAGUGCUUAGCUUUGGGUUCAAUCUUGCGGUGUCCUUUCCCAGUGACAGUAGGGACAGCAAGGCACGUAUUGUAUUGUUACCAUCGAGGAUAACAAGAUGGGGUUUAUAUCAUAUUGCAUGAUUUUAUCCCUCUACAUCAUGUCAUCUUACUUAAAGUGUUACUCUGUUCUUAUGAACUUAAUACUCUAGAUGCAUGCUAGAUAGCGGUCGAUGUGUGGAGUAAUAGUAGUAGAUGCAGGCAGGAGUCGGUCUACUUGUCUUGACGUGAUGCCUAUAUACAUGAUCAUACCUAGAUAUUCUCAUAACUAUGCUCAAUUCUGUCAAUUGCUCAACAGUAAUUCGUUCACCCACCGUACUACUUAUGCUCUCGAGAGAAGCCACUAGUGAAACCUAUGGCCCCCGGGUCUAUCUUCUAUCAUAUUAAUCUACCAACACUUAGCUAUUUUUAUUGCCUUUUAUUUCACUUUGCAUCUUUAUCAUAAAAAUACCAAAAAUAUUAUCUUAUCAUAUCUAUCAGAUCUCACUCUCGUAAAUGACCGUGAAGGGAUUGACAACCCCUUUAUUGCGUUGGUUGCGAGGAUUUAUUUGUUUGUGUAGGUGCGAGGGACUCGUGCGUGGCCUCCUACUGGAUUGAUACCUUGGUUCUAAAAAACGGAGGGAAAUACUUACGCUGCUUUACUGCAUCACCCUUUCCUCUUCAAGGGAAAACCAACGCAGUGCUCAAGAGGUGGCAAGCGACUGUUGGCCGGAAGCCGUGGUGGCAGGCGGCGGCCACUGCGGCCACAGGGGGGUGCGGCUGGGGGCGGCUUGUAACGCCCGGAUAGUUAUGCUACAGUAAUCCCAUGCUAAUGUUGCCACGUCACUGCAUUUACUGUUGUUAACCUCGUGAUGAUUCAAUCCCGUUCGUUUUCAAAAUUCAAAUUUAAAUCAAACAGCAAAAAUGAGUAAAAGAAAAGGAGAAAGCAAACAAAAAAACAAAAGAAGACCCCCGGCCCAACUGGGCCAAUCAGCCCAGCCGGCCGGCCCACACCCGCUACCCCUGGCCUAUUAGGCCACUCCCACCCGAACCCUAACGACCAGACCCCCCACUUCCCCCACGCACCCACGCUCCUCUCCUUCCCCCGAUUCGGGAUCUGGAUCGGGCCACGCCCCGACCCCGCCGCUCGCCCCGACGCUAUCGCCCGUCUCCCCGUCGCCUCCCGCACGACGCCUGCCCCCUCGACCCGAGCUGGAUCGGGGGACUCGACCCCGCUGCGCCCCGGCGCUCUCCCGUCGCCCGACAACUGCCACCGCGCGGAGCCCCACUCGCCGGACCUGAAGGAAAUAUACCCUAGAGGCAAUAAUAAAGUUAUUAUUUAUUUCCUUAUAUCAUAAUAAAUGUUUAUUAUUCAUGCUAGAAUUGUAUUAACCGGAAACAUAAUACUUGUGUGAAUACAUAGACAAACAGAGUGUCACUAGUAUGCCUCUACUUGACUAGCUCGUUGAUCAAAGAUGGUUAUGUUUCCUAGCCAUAGACAUGAGUUGUCAUUUGAUUAACGGGAUCACAUCAUUAGGAGAAUGAUGUGAUUGACUUGACCCAUUCCGUUAGCUUAGCACUCGAUCAUUUAGUAUGUUGCUAUUGCUUUCUUCAUAACUUAUACAUGUUCCUAUGACUAUGAGAUUAUGCAACUCCCGUUUACCGGAGGAACACUUUGUGUGCUACCAAACGUCACAACGUAACUGGGUGAUUAUAAAGGUGCUCUACAGGUGUCUCCAAAGGUACUUGUUGGGUUGGCGUAUUUCGAGAUUAGGAUUUGUCACUCCGAUUGUCGGAGAGGUAUCUCUGGGCCCACUCAGUAAUACAUAUCACUAUAAGCCUUGCAAGCAUUGUAACUAAUGAGUUAGUCGCGGGAUGAUGUAUUACGGAACGAGUAAAGAGACUUGCCGGUAACGAGAUUGAACUAGGUAUCGAGAUACCGACGAUCGAAUCUCGGGCAAGUAACAUACCGAUGACAAAGGGAACAACGUAUGUUGUUAUGCGGUCUGACCGACAAAGAUCUUCGUAGAAUAUGUGGGAGCCAAUAUGAGCAUCCAGGUUCCGCUAUUGGUUAUUGACCGGAGAGGUGUCUCGGUCAUGUCUACAUAGUUCUCGAACCCGUAGGGUCCGCACGCUUAACGUUACGAUGACAGUUAUAUUAUGAGUUUAUAUGUUUUGAUGUACCGAAGGUUGUUCGGAGUCCCGAAUGUGAUCACGGACAUGACGAGGAGUCUCGAAAUGGUCGAGACAUAAAGAUUGAUACAUUGGAAGCCUAUGUUUGGAUAUCGGAAGUGUUCCGGGUGAAAUCGGGAUUUUUCCGGAGUACCGGGAGGUUACCGGAACCCCCCGGUAACUUAAUGGGCCUUAGUGGGCCUAGGUGGAAGAGAGGAGAGGAGGCUAGGGCAGGGCCGCACGCCCCUCCCCCCCAGUCCGAAUAGGACAAGGAGAGGGGGGCGGCGCCCCCCUUUCCUUCCUCCCCUCCACCUCUUCCCCCUCUCUCUCCUAGUCCAACAUGGAAAAGGGGGAAGUCCUACUCCCGGUAGGAGUAGAAAUCGUCCUGGUGCGCCUCUCCCCUUGGCCGGCCGAAACCCCCCCUUGCUCCUUUAUAUACGGGGGCAGGGGGCACCUCUAGACACACAAUUGAUCAUUGAUCUCUUAGCCGUGUGCGGUGCCCCCCUCCACUAUAUUACACCUCGAUAAUAUCGUAGCGGUGCUUAGGCGAAGCCUUGCGUCGGUAGAACAUCAUCAUCGUCACCACACCAUCGUGUUGACGAAACUCUCCCUCAACACUCGGCUGGAUCGGAGUUCGAGGGACGUCAUCGAGCUGAACGUGUGCUGAACUCGGAGGUGCCGUACGUUCGGUACUUGAACGAUCGGAUCGUGAAGACGUACGACUACAUCAACCGCGUUGUGUUAACGCUUCCGCUUUCGGUCUACGAGGGUACGUGGACAACACUCUCCCCUCUCGUUCUAUGCAUCACCAUGAUCUUGCGUGUGCGUAGAAUUUUUUUGAAAUUACUACGUUCCCCAACAGUGGCAUCCGAGCCUGGUUUUAUGCGUUGAUGUUAUAUGCACGAGUAGAACACAAUUGAGUUGUGGGCGAUAUAAGUCAUACUGCUUACCAGCAUGUCAUAUUUUGGUUCACCGGUAUUGUGAGAUGAAGCGGCCCGGACCGACAUUACGCGUACGCUUACGCGAGACCGGUUUCACCAUUGCGAGCACUCGUUGCUUAAAGGUGACUGGCGGGUGUCUGUCUCUCUCACUUUAGUUGAACCGAGUGUGGCUACGCCCGGUCCUUGCGAAGGUUAAAACAGCACCAACUUGACAAACUAUCGUUGUGGUUUUGAUGCGUAGGUAAGAACGGUUCUUGCUAAGCCCGUAGCAGCCACGUAAAACUUGCAACAACAAAGUAGAGGACGUCUAACUUGUUUUUGCAGGGCAUGUUGUCAUGUGAUAUGGUCAAGACAUGAUGCUAUAUUUUAUUGUAUGAGAUGAUCAUGUUUUGUAACCGAGUUAUCGGCAACUGGCAGGAGCCAUAUGGUUGUCGCUUUAUUGUAUGCAAUGCAAUCGCCAUGUAAUUGUUUUACUUUAUCACUAAGCGGUAGCGAUAGUCGUAAAAGCAAUAGUUGGCGAGACGACAACGAUGCUACGAUGGAGAUCAAGGUGUCGCGCCGGUGACGAUGGUGAUCAUGACGGUGCUUCGGAGAUGGAAAUCACAAGCACAAGAUGAUGAUGGCCAUAUCAUAUCACUUAUAUUGAUUGCAUGUGAUGUUUAUCUUUUAUGCAUCUUAUCUUGCUUUGAUUGACGGUAGCAUUAUAAGAUGAUCUCUCACUAAAAUUUCAAGAUAAAACUGUUCUCCCUGAGUAUGCACCGUUGCCAAAGUUCGUCGUGCCCAGACACCACGUGAUGAUCGGGUGUGAUAAGCUCUACGUCCAUCUACAAUGGGUGCAAGCCAGUUUUGCACACGCAGAAUACUCAGGUUAAACUUGACGAGCCUAGCAUAUGCAGAUAUGGCCUCGGAACAUUGAGACCGAAAGGUCGAGCGUGAAUCAUAUAGUAGAUAUGAUCAACAUAGUGAUGUUCACCAUUGAAAACUACUCCAUUUCACGUGAUGAUCGGUUAUGGUUUAGUUGAUUUGGAUCACGUGAUCACUUAGAUGAUUAGAGGGAUGUCUGUCUAAGUGGGAUUUCUUAAGUAAUAUGAUUAAUAGAACUUAAAUUUAUCAUGAACUUAGUACCUGAUAGUAUCUUGCUUGUCUAUGUUAAUUGUAGAUAGAUGGCCUGUGCUGUUGUUCCGUUGAAUUUUAAUGCGUUCCUUGAGAAAGCAAAGUUGAAAGAUGAUGGUAGCAAUUACACGAACUGGGUCCGUAACUUGAGGAUUAUCCUCAUUGCUGCACAGAAGAAUUAUGUCCUGGAAGCACCGCUGGGUGCCAGGCCUGCUGCAAGAGCAACACCAGAAGUUGUGAACGUCUGGCAGAGCAAAGCUGAUGACUACUCGAUAGUUCAGUGUGCCAUGCUUUAUGGCUUAGAACCGGGUCUUCAACGACGUUUUGAACGUCAUGGAGCAUAUGAGAUGUUCCAGGAGUUGAAGUUAAUAUUUCAAGCAAAUGCCCGGAUUGAGAGAUAUGAAGUCUCCAAUAAGUUCUACAGCUGCAAGAUGGAAGAGAAUAGUUCUGUCAGUGAGCAUAUACUCAAAAUGUCUGGGUAUAACAAUCACUUGAUUCAACUGGGAGUUAAUCUUCCGGAUGAUAGCGUCAUUGAUAGAAUUCUUCAAUCACUACCACCAAGUUACAAGAGCUUCAUGAUGAACUAUAACAUGCAAGGGAUGAAUAAGACAAUUCCCGAGCUCUUCGCAAUGCUAAAGGCAGCGGAGGUAGAAAUCAAAAAGGAGCAUCAAGUGUUGAUGGUCAAUAAGACCACUAGUUUCAAGAAAAAGGGCAAAGGAAAGAAGAAGGGGAACUUCAAGAAGAACAGCAAGCAAGUUGUUGUUCAGGAGAAGAAACCCAAAUCUGGACCUAAGCCUGAGACUGAGUGCUUCUACUGCAAGCAUACUGGUCACUGGAAGCGGAACUGCCCCAAGUAUUUGGCGGAUAAGAAGGAUGGCAAGGUGAACAAAGGUAUAUGUGAUAUACAUGUUAUUGAUGUGUACCUUACCAGAGCUCGCAGUAGCACCUGGGUAUUUGAUACUGGUUCUGUUGCCAAUAUUUGCAACUCGAAACAGGGACUACGGAUUAAGCGAACACUGGCCAAGGACGAGGUAACGAUGCGCGUGGGAAACGGUUCCAAAGUCGAUGUGAUCGCCGUCAGCACGCUACCUCUACAUCUACCUUCGGGAUUAGUAUUAGACCUGAAUAAUUGUUAUUUGGUGCCAGCGUUGAGCAUGAACAUUAUAUCUGGAUCUUGUUUAAUGCGAGACGGUUAUUCAUUUAAAUCAGAGAAUAAUGGUUGUUCUAUUUAUAUGAGUAAUAUCUUUUAUGGUCAUGCACCCUUGAAGAGUGGUCUAUUUUUAAUGAAUCUCGAUAGUAGUGACACACAUAUUCAUAAUGUCGAAGCCCAAAGAUGCAGAGUUGAUAAUGAUAGUGCAACUUAUUUGUGGCACUGUCGUUUAGGUCAUAUCGGUGUAAAGCGCAUGAAGAAACUCCAUAAUGAUGGACUUUUGGAAUCACUUGAUUAUGAAUCACUUGGUACUAGCGAACCGUGUCUCAUGGGCAAGAUGACUAAAACACCGUUCUCCGGAACUAUGGAGAGAGCAACUAAUUUGUUGGAAAUCAUACAUACAGAUGUAUGUGGUCCGAUGAAUAUUGAGGCUCGUGGCGGAUAUCGUUAUUUUCUCACCUUCACAGAUGAUUUGAGCAGAUAUGGGUAUAUCUACUUAAUGAAACAUAAGUCUGAAACAUUUGAAAAGUUCAAAGAAUUUCAGAGCGAAGUUGAAAAUCAUCGUAACAAGAAAAUAAAGUUUCUACGAUUAGAUCGUGGAGGAGAAUAUUUGAGUUACGAGUUUGGUCUACAUUUGAAACAAAGCGGAAUAGUUUCGCAACUCACGCCACCCGGAACACCACAACGUAAUGGUGUGUCCGAACGUCGUAAUCGUACUUUACUAGAUAUGGUGCGAUCUAUGAUGUCUCUUACUGAUUUACCGCUAUCGUUUUGGGGUUAUGCUUUAGAGACGGCUGCAUUCACUCUAAAUAGGGCACCAUCGAAAUCCGUUGAGACGACGCCAUAUGAACUAUGGUUUGGCAAGAAACCAAAGUUGUCGUUUCUUAAAGUUUGGGGUUGCGAUGCUUAUGUGAUGAAACUUCAACCUGAUAAGCUCGAACCUAAAUCGGAGAAAUGUGUCUUCAUAGGAUACCCAAAGGAAACUGUUGGGUACACCUUCUAUCACAGAUCCGAAGGCAAGACAUUCAUUGCUAAGAAUGGAUCCUUUCUAGAGAAGGAGUUUCUCUCGAAAGAAGUGAGUGGGAGGAAAGUAGAACUUGAUGAGGUAACUGUACCUGCUCCCUUAUUGGAAAGUAGAUCAUCACAGAAACCAGUUUCUGUGACACCUACACCAAUUAGUGAGGAAGUUAAUGAUAAUGAUCAUAAAACUUCAGAUCAAGUUAUUACUGAACCUCGUAGGUCAACCAGAUUAAGAUCCGCACCAGAGUGGUACGGUAAUCCUGUUCUGGAGGUUAUGUUACUAGACCAUGACGAACCUACGAACUAUGAAGAAGCGAUGGUGAGCCCAGAUUCCGCAAAAUGGCUUGAGGCCAUGAAAUCCGAGAUGGGAUCCAUGUAUGAGAACAAAGUAUGGACUUUGGUUGACUUGCCCGAUGAUCGGCAAGCCAUUGAAAAUAAAUGGAUCUUCAAGAAGAAGACUGACGCUGACGGUAAUGUUACUGUUUAUAAAGCUCGACUUGUUGCGAAAGGUUUUCGACAAGUUCAAGGGAUUGACUAUGAUGAGACCUUCUCACCCGUAGCGAUGCUUAAGUCUGUCCGAAUCAUGUUAGCAAUUGCCGCAUUUUAUGAUUAUGAAAUUUGGCAAAUGGAUGUCAAAACUGCAUUCCUGAAUGGAUUUCUGGAAGAAGAGUUGUAUAUGAUGCAACCGGAAGGUUUUGUCGAUCCAAAGGGAGCUAACAAAGUGUGCAAGCUCCAACGAUCCAUUUAUGGACUGGUGCAAGCCUCUCGGAGUUGGAAUAAACGCUUUGAUAGUGUGAUCAAAGCAUUUAUUCCAAGUGGGUGAAAUAAGUCUCUUCGCUUGAAUUUUAGAACUUAGAAUUUAUUACCCUAGAAAAAAAAAAGAAAAACCUAAUCCUUUGAAUCUUUGGUAUCCUUCAAAUCUUCGCUAUACUUCGAGUCUUCGAUACGCUUCGAAUCCUUAUGGGGAAGUCUAUAAAUUAUACGUCCCUUGCUUGAAUCAUAAUGACUUACUUCAAUUUUGACCCUAUCCCCCAUCAGUAUUCGUAUAGAACUAGACCGUAUCUUUCCUGAAAUAUAGCCUAGGAUGAUGGUGUCAUUCUCUAGCCGAACGCGGAACAUUCCAUUGGGUAGGGAUUCCAUAACUAAACCUUCGAAAGUUACUUUUGCUUCUCUCGGGUUUUUUUUCUCUCCUAUUUUUUUCUGUCAUAUUUUUUUCUCCUAUUUUUCUAUUUUUAUUUUAAAAAUAGGAAGGGCGAGAUAGAAUUCGAGCACUAUAGGCGGGGCGAUUACCAUAUAUAACAUAAGACUUCUCCCCCAAUUCUGUUUAGUCGAGCUUCUCGAUCUGUCAUUAUUCCUCGAGAAGUAGAAAGAAUAGCAAUUCCCAUUCCACCCAAAACUUUAGGAAUUCCUUGAUAGUUGGUAUAAAUUCGUAAGCCGGGUCGGCUGAUACGCUUUAAAAAAGGUUCUUGUUCUAUAUAUUCCUUUUCUAGUCUUUCUCUUUUGAUGUCGCAAAGUUGAAACCAAGAAAUAUCUGUUACGUUCCUGAUGUUUCCGAACACUUUCAAUAAAACCCUCUCGUAGAAGUAUUUUAACAAUGUUUUCGGUAAUAUUUGUAGAUACUACUCGAACUGUUCAUUUUUUAUUCAUGUCCGCAUUUCUUAUAGAGGUUAGUAAAUCAGCAAUAGUGUCCUUGCCCAUAAGACUCUAAUUCUAGGUUCCUCCUAAUUUUUCUAUAAUCAACAUGUUUUUUCAUUUUGGAUUUUAAAACAUAUACGUAAAACACAAUCUACUAAAUUAAUUCUUUGGUCUCAAUUUCGCCU
RNAcentral lists this long non-coding RNA (11031 nucleotides) under Triticum aestivum (bread wheat). Its description in RNAcentral is "long non-coding RNA (TAES_LNC013244)". The record is from RNAcentral. Lineage: Eukaryota; Viridiplantae; Streptophyta; Magnoliopsida; Poales; Poaceae.